This 920-nucleotide ribosomal RNA is filed under the name uncultured bacterium. RNAcentral's name for it is "bacterial SSU rRNA". It matches the Rfam family "Bacterial small subunit ribosomal RNA", at positions 1 to 916 of the family's 1533-position model. The record is from RNAcentral.
UUAGAGUUUGAUCCUGGCUCAGGAUGAACGCUAGCUACAGGCUUAACACAUGCAAGUCGAGGGGAAACGACAUCGAAAGCUUGCUUUUGAUGGGCGUCGACCGGCGCACGGGUGAGUAACGCGUAUCCAACCUGCCCAUCACUUGGGGAUAACCUUGCGAAAGUAAGACUAAUACCCAAUGACGUCUCUAGAAGACAUCUGAAAGAGAUUAAAGAUUUAUCGGUGAUGGAUGGGGAUGCGUCUGAUUAGCUUGUUGGCGGGGUAACGGCCCACCAAGGCGACGAUCAGUAGGGGUUCUGAGAGGAAGGUCCCCCACAUUGGAACUGAGACACGGUCCAAACUCCUACGGGAGGCAGCAGUGAGGAAUAUUGGUCAAUGGACGAGAGUCUGAACCAGCCAAGUAGCGUGCAGGAAGACGGCCCUAUGGGUUGUAAACUGCUUUUAUAAGGGAAUAAAGUGAGUCUCGUGAGACUUUUUGCAUGUACCUUAUGAAUAAGGACCGGCUAAUUCCGUGCCAGCAGCCGCGGUAAUACGGAAGGUCCGGGCGUUAUCCGGAUUUAUUGGGUUUAAAGGGAGCGUAGGCCGGAGAUUAAGCGUGUUGUGAAAUGUAGAUGCUCAACAUCUGAACUGCAGCGCGAACUGGUUUCCUUGAGUACGCACAAAGUGGGCGGAAUUCGUGGUGUAGCGGUGAAAUGCUUAGAUAUCACGAAGAACUCCGAUUGCGAAGGCAGCUCACUGGAGCGCAACUGACGCUGAAGCUCGAAAGUGCGGGUAUCGAACAGGAUUAGAUACCCUGGUAGUCCGCACGGUAAACGAUGGAUGCCCGCUGUUGGUCUGAAUAGGUCAGCGGCCAAGCGAAAGCAUUAAGCAUCCCACCUGGGGAGUACGCCGGCAACGGUGAAACUCAAAUGAAUUGACGG